AAAUUGAAGAGUUUGAUCAUGGCUCAGAUUGAACGCUGGCGGCAGGCCUAACACAUGCAAGUCGAACGGUAACAGGAAUCAGCUUGCUGAUUUGCUGACGAGUGGCGGACGGGUGAGUAAUGUCUGGGAAACUGCCUGAUGGAGGGGGAUAACUACUGGAAACGGUAGCUAAUACCGCAUAACGUCGCAAGACCAAAGAGGGGGACCUUCGGGCCUCUUG
This 220-nucleotide ribosomal RNA is filed under the name Escherichia coli. RNAcentral describes it as "partial 16S ribosomal RNA". It matches the Rfam family "Bacterial small subunit ribosomal RNA", at positions 1 to 217 of the family's 1533-position model. The record is from RNAcentral. Lineage: Bacteria; Pseudomonadati; Pseudomonadota; Gammaproteobacteria; Enterobacterales; Enterobacteriaceae.